This 253-nucleotide ribosomal RNA is filed under the name uncultured bacterium. Its description in RNAcentral is "partial 16S ribosomal RNA". It matches the Rfam family "Bacterial small subunit ribosomal RNA", at positions 524 to 776 of the family's 1533-position model. The record is from RNAcentral.
UACGGAGGGUGCAAGCGUUGCUCGGAAUUACUGGGCGUAAAGCGCGUGUAGGCGGUUUCGUGUGUCUGAUGUGAAAUCCCCGGGCUCAACCCGGGAAGUGCAUUGGAAACUGCGAGACUAGAGUCCCGGAGAGGAAGGUGGAAUUCCAGGUGUAGCGGUGAAAUGCGUAGAUAUCUGGAAGAACACCGGUGGCGAAGGCGACUACCUGGCCUGUUCUUGACGCUGAGGCGCGAAAGCUAGGGGAGCAAACGGG